Molecule: ribosomal RNA, 554 nt
Filed under: Zecicindela brevilunata
Lineage: Eukaryota; Metazoa; Arthropoda; Insecta; Coleoptera; Carabidae
Description: partial 16S ribosomal RNA
Rfam family: Bacterial large subunit ribosomal RNA
Source: RNAcentral
AUGGCCGCAGUAUUUUGACUGUGCAAAGGUAGCAUAAUUAUUAGUUUUUUAAUUGAAAGCUUGUAUGAAGGGUUGGACGAGAUAAAAUCUGUCUUUAUUUAAAUUAAAAUAGAAUUUAACUUUUAAGUCAAAAGGCUUAAAUGUUUAUAAAAGACGAGAAGACCCUAUAGAUCUUUAUUAAAUUUAAGCUUUGAUAAUUUAAGAUUACUUUAAUUUAAAGCUUUAAUUUAAUUUUAUUGGGGUAAUAUAAAGAUUAAAUAAAUUCUUUUUAUUAAUUACAUUAAUUUAUGUAUAUAUGAUCCAUUAUUAUUGAUUAUAAGAUUAAGUUCCCUUAGGGAUAACAGCGUAAUUUUUUUGGAGAGCCCAUAUCGAUAAAAAAGUUUGCGACCUCGAUGUUGGAUUAAAAAUUAGCUUGGGUGUAGAAGCUCAAGAUUUUGGUCUGUUCGACCAUUAAAUUUUUACAUGAUCUGAGUUCAGACCGGCGUAAGCCAGGUCGGUUUCUAUCUUUAUUUAAAUAAAAUAUUUUAGUACGAAAGGACCAAGUAUUUAAUAUA